This 301-nucleotide ribosomal RNA is filed under the name uncultured bacterium. RNAcentral's name for it is "partial 16S ribosomal RNA". It matches the Rfam family "Bacterial small subunit ribosomal RNA", at positions 509 to 807 of the family's 1533-position model. The record is from RNAcentral.
CAGUAGCCACGGGAAUACGAAGGGGGCUAGCGUUGCUCGGAAUUACUGGGCGUAAAGGGCGCGUAGGCGGACAGUUCAGUCGGGGGUGAAAGCCCGGGGCUCAACCUCGGAAUUGCCUUCGAUACUGACUGUCUUGAAUAUGAGAGAGGUGUGUGGAACUCCGAGUGUAGAGGUGAAAUUCGUAGAUAUUCGGAAGAACACCAGUGGCGAAGGCGACACACUGGCUCAUUACUGACGCUGAGGCGCGAAAGCGUGGGGAGCAAACAGGAUUAGAUACCCCUGUAGUCCCUGUCUCUUAUAC